UGACGAAGGGGGCUAGCGUUUGCUCGGGAAUGAAGCUGGGCGUAAAGGGCGCGUAGCUGGAGUGCUUUGUCAGGCGCGAAAUUCCAGGGCUUAACCUUGGGGUCUGCGUUUGAGGACGGGCAUUCUUGGAGUAUGGAAGAGGGGUCGUGGAAUUCCCAGUGUAGAGGUGAAAUUCGUAGAUAUUGGGAAGAACACCGGUGGCGAAGGCGGCGACCUGGUCCAUGACUGACGCUGAGGCGCGAAGCGUGGGAGCAAACAGG
This 260-nucleotide ribosomal RNA is filed under the name uncultured bacterium. RNAcentral describes it as "partial 16S ribosomal RNA". It matches the Rfam family "Bacterial small subunit ribosomal RNA", at positions 523 to 776 of the family's 1533-position model. The record is from RNAcentral.